UACAGAGGUCUCAAGCGUUGUUCGGAUUCAUUGGGCGUAAAGGGUGCGUAGGUGGCGGGGUAAGUCAGGUGUGAAAUUUCGGAGCUUAACUCCGAAACUGCAUUUGAUACUGCCUUGCUUGAGGACUGGAGAGGAGACUGGAAUUCACGGUGUAGCAGUGAAAUGCGUAGAGAUCGUGAGGAAGACCAGUGGCGAAGGCGGGUCUCUGGACAGUUCCUGACACUGAGGCACGAAGGCCAGGGGAGCAAACGGG
This 253-nucleotide ribosomal RNA is filed under the name uncultured bacterium. RNAcentral's name for it is "partial 16S ribosomal RNA". It matches the Rfam family "Bacterial small subunit ribosomal RNA", at positions 524 to 776 of the family's 1533-position model. The record is from RNAcentral.